RNAcentral lists this ribosomal RNA (1042 nucleotides) under Valsaria spartii. RNAcentral describes it as "LSU rRNA". It matches the Rfam family "Eukaryotic large subunit ribosomal RNA", at positions 147 to 1443 of the family's 3401-position model. Lineage: Eukaryota; Fungi; Ascomycota; Dothideomycetes; Valsariales; Valsariaceae. The record is from RNAcentral.
AAUUUGCAGAGGGUGCUUCGGCGUCGGCUCCGGUCCAAGUUCCUUGGAACAGGACGUCACAGAGGGUGAGAACCCCGUACGUGGCCGGAAGUCUUCGCCGUGUGAAGCCCCUUCGACGAGUCGAGUUGUUUGGGAAUGCAGCUCUAAAUGGGAGGUAAAUUUCUUCUAAAGCUAAAUACCGGCCAGAGACCGAUAGCGCACAAGUAGAGUGAUCGAAAGAUGAAAAGCACUUUGGAAAGAGAGUUAAAAAGCACGUGAAAUUGUUAAAAGGGAAGCAGUUGCAGCCAGACUUGGCCGCGGGCGUUCAACCGUGCUUCUGCACGGUGUACUCGACCGCGGUCAGGCCAGCAUCAGUUCGGGCGGCCGGAUAAAGGUCCUGGGAAUGUGGCUCCCCUCGGGGAGUGUUAUAGCCCGGGGCGUAAUACGGCCAGCCUGGACUGAGGUCCGCGCUUCGGCUAGGAUGCUGGCAUAAUGGCUGUAACUGGCCCGUCUUGAAACACGGACCAAGGAGUCUAACAUCUAUGCGAGUGUUUGGGUGUCAAACCCAUACGCGUAAUGAAAGUGAACGGAGGUGAGAGCCGCAAGGCGCAUCAUCGACCGAUCCUGAUGUCUUCGGAUGGAUUUGAGUAUGAGCAUAGCUGUUGGGACCCGAAAGAUGGUGAACUAUGCCUGAAUAGGGUGAAGCCAGAGGAAACUCUGGUGGAGGCUCGCAGCGGUUCUGACGUGCAAAUCGAUCGUCAAAUUUGGGUAUAGGGGCGAAAGACUAAUCGAACCAUUGACCUACUAGGUGGUUAACAGGCGGCUAAAAGUGCCCGGCCUAGUCCCUUCACUCGGGGGCGACGCUAUCAAAUUGCGGGGACAUCCUUAGAGCUCAGGCUACCGCGGCCCGCCGAAAGGCAGGGUGCAGCACCGGGGUAACGACCCAGGGGAAGGUAAAAACGCCUGAGAUUGGACAAUCCGCAGCCAAGUCCUAAACGCCCUCGGGGCGCACGGAUGCAGUUCACAGACUAGAUGGUAGCGGGUCGCCCUCAACGGGCGGCUU